AAGUCGUAACAAGGUUUCCGUAGGUGAACCUGCGGAAGGAUCACUAUUGAAUGAACUUGGCGUGGUUGUUGCUGGUCCUCUUGGGGGCCAUGUGCACACCCGUCAUCUUUAUCUUUCCACCUGUGCACAUUUUUGUAGGUCUAAAAUUUUUUCCCGAGGCAACUCGUUUAGAGGGUUUGCUGUGCAUCACUGUCGGCUUCCCCUUGGAUUUUCAGGCCUAUGUUUUCACAUACACCAUAAAAUGUAAUAGAAUGUCAUAUUGGGCUUUGUUGCCUAUAAACUAUAUACAA
RNAcentral lists this unclassified non-coding RNA (290 nucleotides) under plant metagenome. RNAcentral's name for it is "partial contains small subunit ribosomal RNA and internal transcribed spacer 1". The stretch from base 1 to 46 matches the Rfam family "Eukaryotic small subunit ribosomal RNA", at positions 1786 to 1831 of the family's 1831-position model. The record is from RNAcentral.